This 827-nucleotide long non-coding RNA is filed under the name Mus pahari (shrew mouse). RNAcentral's name for it is "lncRNA (MGP_PahariEiJ_G0005943.1)". The record is from RNAcentral. Lineage: Eukaryota; Metazoa; Chordata; Mammalia; Rodentia; Muridae.
GCUCUUAAAGCGCACACUUCCUGCAGGCGCCGCCCCACGCGGCCCCCGCCCGAAUCAGAGCUUGGGGUUUGGGGGCUUGGGGCCGGGACCCAGAGCCAAGCUUCAGCUUUUGGAGAAAUCAGUCCCAAGUGACCAGAUGAAAAAUGGCUCGCAAAGCAACAUGUGAAUUCCGGCUAGGAGAAUGGCGUUCAAGGGGUUAAUGAAGCGCUUGGUUGCCCGGAGUCUGCAGUGAGGUGCCUCAACCAAAAGCUGCUUUUCAAAGACCCUUUUACUCGCGGCUAGACACUGUUUUAAGAAACACAGAGAGAGAAGAUGGCUUGAAGAUCACCUAAAGUCACUGCCAUCUACUUAGAUCAAGAAGCUUCCAGGGUUUGAACUCAGGUUGUCGGGUUUGCAUGCCAAGCUGAGUCAUCUCACCUAUCACCUGCAUUUUCAUGUCACAGAAGAUGUACUGCACGGAAAAAUCACAGCAAUCAACAGCUGACUCAAAACGUGAGUCACAAAAAUUAAGAAAGAGCACCAUCUCAAUGGAGAGAGCACCAUCUCAAUGGAGAGAGCACUGGAGCGCCGUAUUUACAGAAAGGGUAAGCACAAGUGGCCCUGGCACCUGAGGAUCAUGAUGGCUCUUCAGUUAGCUGCCAGCGCGCAAUAUAAAUCCUUGCUAUGUGAGCAAGUUGGAUCCAAUUCUUCAUCAAAGGUACUGUGCUAUGGAGGCUGUCAUAUGCUCCGCGUCAUAUGAAUCCACAUCCAUAGUCCAACGGCCAGAGGAAGGGGAUUGGCAGGGACGGAAGACAAACCUUUAGAAAUGCUGUGGAGAAAAGGCCACC